RNAcentral lists this ribosomal RNA (240 nucleotides) under uncultured bacterium. Its description in RNAcentral is "partial 16S ribosomal RNA". It matches the Rfam family "Bacterial small subunit ribosomal RNA", at positions 796 to 1041 of the family's 1533-position model. RNAcentral also lists the same sequence under 1 other name. The record is from RNAcentral.
CACACAGUAAACGAUGAAUACUCGCUGUUUGCGAUAUACAGUAAGCGGCCAAGCGAAAGCAUUAAGUAUUCCACCUGGGGAGUACGCCGGCAACGGUGAAACUCAAAGGAAUUGACGGGGGCCCGCACAAGCGGAGGAACAUGUGGUUUAAUUCGAUGAUACGCGAGGAACCUUACCCGGGCUUAAAUUGCAACAGAAUAUAUUGGAAACAGUAUAGCCGUAAGGCUGUUGUGAAGGUGC